UCAUCAGGUGGGAUAAUCCUUACCUGUUACUCCUUAAGGAGAACAGAUUAGAAAUGAUUGGAGUUCUUCGCAUGAUACGUGAUUAUACGUCUCUGUGUAAUCAGGACUUGCAAAGAACACAGAUUACUUUUGGAGCUUAU
This 140-nucleotide small nucleolar RNA is filed under the name Microcebus murinus (gray mouse lemur). RNAcentral's name for it is "U8 small nucleolar RNA (ENSMICG00000024693.3)". It matches the Rfam family "U8 small nucleolar RNA". From Rfam's summary of the family: U8 is a member of the C/D class of snoRNA which contain the C (UGAUGA) and D (CUGA) box motifs. U8 is the RNA component of a small complex (the U8 snoRNP) which is required for accumulation of mature large subunit ribosomal RNAs, 5.8S and 28S rRNAs. Lineage: Eukaryota; Metazoa; Chordata; Mammalia; Primates; Cheirogaleidae. The record is from Rfam by way of RNAcentral.